UACGAAGGGGGCUAGCGUUGCUCGGAAUUACUGGGCGUAAAGCGCUCGUAGGCGGAUCUUUAAGUCAGAGGUGAAAUCCCAAGGCUCAACCUUGGAACUGCCUUUGAUACUGGGGAUCUCGAGUCCGGGAGAGGUGAGUGGAACUGCGAGUGUAGAGGUGAAAUUCGUAGAUAUUCGCAAGAACACCAGUGGCGAAGGCGGCUCACUGGCCCGAUACUGACGCUGAGGCACGAAAGCGUGGGGAGCGAACAGG
This 253-nucleotide ribosomal RNA is filed under the name uncultured bacterium. RNAcentral's name for it is "partial 16S ribosomal RNA". It matches the Rfam family "Bacterial small subunit ribosomal RNA", at positions 524 to 776 of the family's 1533-position model. The record is from RNAcentral.